RNAcentral lists this ribosomal RNA (253 nucleotides) under uncultured bacterium. RNAcentral's name for it is "partial 16S ribosomal RNA". It matches the Rfam family "Bacterial small subunit ribosomal RNA", at positions 524 to 776 of the family's 1533-position model. The record is from RNAcentral.
GACGAACCGUGCGAACGUUAUUCGGAAUCACUGGGCUUAAAGCGCGUGUAGGCGGACGGCACGUCGGUCGCUGAAAGCCCCCGGCUUAACCGGGGAACUGGCGGAGAUACGACCGUCCUGGAGGGGCGUAGGGGGACCUGGAACUUCCGGUGGAGCGGUGAAAUGCGUUGAGAUCGGAAGGAACGCCCGUGGCGAAAGCGAGGUCCUGGACGCCUACUGACGCUGAGACGCGAAAGCCAGGGGAGCGAACGGG